Molecule: transfer RNA, 73 nt
Filed under: Rattus norvegicus (Norway rat)
Lineage: Eukaryota; Metazoa; Chordata; Mammalia; Rodentia; Muridae
Rfam family: tRNA
About the family: Transfer RNA (tRNA) molecules are approximately 80 nucleotides in length.
Source: Rfam by way of RNAcentral
GCUGGAGGGGCUCAGCAGUUAAGAGCACUGGUUGCUUCUCCAGAGGCCUGGAGUUCAACUCCCAGCACCUGCA